UACGAAGGGGGCUAGCGUUGCUCGGAAUUACUGGGCGUAAAGGGCGCGUAGGCGGCCAUUUAAGUCGGGGGUGAAAGCCCAGGGCUCAACCCUGGAACUGCCUUCGAUACUGGGUGUCUAGAGUAUGGGAGAGGUGUGUGGAACUCCGAGUGUAGAGGUGAAAUUCGUAGAUAUUCGGAAGAACACCAGUGGCGAAGGCGACACACUGGCCCAUUACUGACGCUGAGGCUCGAAAGCGUGGGGAGCAAACAGG
RNAcentral lists this ribosomal RNA (253 nucleotides) under uncultured bacterium. RNAcentral describes it as "partial 16S ribosomal RNA". It matches the Rfam family "Bacterial small subunit ribosomal RNA", at positions 524 to 776 of the family's 1533-position model. The record is from RNAcentral.